Molecule: long non-coding RNA, 1276 nt
Filed under: Cyanistes caeruleus (blue tit)
Lineage: Eukaryota; Metazoa; Chordata; Aves; Passeriformes; Paridae
Description: lncRNA (ENSCCEG00000020306.1)
Source: RNAcentral
GUCAUUGAAACUUAAGACACUGAAGGUCAGAAUCCAAAUGCCAUCACCCAUACUUCCUACCACCUAGAAAUGGGGAAUCCAGGCUUACCUGUGAUGUUUCAUAAUGACCCAGAUCAACUUUACUGCUUCCAAGGCCUCUUUCAUGCCACUGCAGAGUCUGUACCUUUGGUAAGGCUGGUGUUGUUUUGCUACUCAUUAAAUGAGGAGAAAAUCUUCACAUUUCUAGAUGGUGCAGCAACAGUCCUGGAACUUGCAGGCAUGAAGUACUCAAAACUUAUCUUUACAAUGGAUAUUUGCUGAAUUUCUAUGAAUGUCAAAACUCUUCUUUGAACCUCCUGAAUCUUGAAGAAGAUUUUCCAUUGAGCAUGUGACUGUGUUUCUGUCUGUUGGAUUUAUUUUAAGAAUGUGGCUGUUGAGGGGAUUGCGUAAAGUGAAGAAGCAAAGACAAGCAAAGAACAAAUCACAGCAAGUGGGAGGAGUGUCUGAGAAAAAAUUUAAACCACAAAGUGGCAGCAUCAAUGCAUCAAGAGUGGAAAGGAACCUGAGACAAAACCCUUGGAUGGUGGGAGGUGUCUGGAAGCCCUUGUGAAUGAUGGUAGACAGCAUAUGGUGUGUGGGUGUCCACUGUGAUCUGUUUCCCCCCAGCAGCACAUGAACAGUACCCAGUCUCAAAGUCAUAUUUCCUCUUGGUUAUAGUUCUACAGGCUCUUCAUUUUUAUGCUUCAAUGCCUCCUGAAAUGAUACAUUUGAAAUGGUUUCUGCUCUGUUCUAAGCAUUUAAUUCCUAGAAAGAUAUCAACACACCAGAGGGACUUUUAAGAAGAGUGAGGAAGAAAAGCUGUGGAGGUGAAGGAAAAUAUUCACAAUAGGUAACAAUGGUAUUUGUGAUAACAGUGAUUGCUGCCCAUUUCCCAGCAGCAAUUUCAACAUGUGUCCUUACCAGAUACCCUCUCAGUAUCUAUUUUUAGGGGGACAUUCUUUAUUGUGUAAUAAGAUGUUUGUGUAUUUAGCAAGAUAUAGAAAGGGGAAAGGGGAAUGGCUGUAGGUCCUGAUUGCUAAGGCUUAGAAAAGGGAAAGAGGAGGGGAGGAGUUAAAGUGUUUAAAUGCACGUGUUUAAGAAUUGUCAAAAAGAAAAAAUGUGGAACAAAUAACAAUAAUAUUAAUAUUAAUAGUUCUGAAAUCCCCUCCAUUUUGAAUGUGGAAACAGUGAAUGAAAAAUUACAGCCAGAUUAACGAAGGUCAGCUGGGUAAAAUAAACCCUGAACUCCAAUUCUGCA